Molecule: long non-coding RNA, 1084 nt
Filed under: Vombatus ursinus (common wombat)
Lineage: Eukaryota; Metazoa; Chordata; Mammalia; Diprotodontia; Vombatidae
Description: lncRNA (ENSVURG00010018047.1)
Source: RNAcentral
CUUGGCCAGAAUUUGCUCCUUGGCCUUCAUGGGUUCCCACGGGGCUCUUUUCCAGGUCUGGGGCCCCUGGGGAGCAGCUUGUAAACUGAGCCCCCCAUAGCCAGCCCUCCCAGGCAGGGUCCCAGUCCAGCCUGGGUUUGCUUUCCUCUUGGCAAACAAUGAAGGGCCCCGCCCAGGCUCUGCCCAUUGCCAGGCAGGUGGUCUGGAGGGCCCAGUCUGCUGCAGCUGCGCCCGGAGGUGGCCGCUCCCUCGCUGGUCAGAGAGCAUGAGCCGGGGCCUUCUUCAGGGGCACCAGAGCCUGCAGCAGCCAGCCUGCAGCUGCCCCUCCGGACCAGAUGAGAACCAUGCCUGUGGUAGUAAGAAGGAAAGGAGAGCCCCACUGAGCAGAGGCUCUGGGCUGGAGGCUGCUGUGAGGCUGGACAUGCUGGGCACAGGGAGUGUCCAGGACCCAUGGCGCACCCACCUGGCCAUCCACCGUCUCCGCCACUCCACCCACUGGAAGAUGCUGCCGCUUCCCACGGCCGGGCAGCCUGCCUCGGACCCACGGGUGCCCUUGGAGGAUGGCACCGAUGGGCAGGUGCCUCCCAGUCAGGACCCCCAGAAGGAGCCUCCUCAGCCACUGGUCACCCCGACCCCUGGGGGCGCUAGCCCUGCUGGUCCCCGGGGGGCAAGCCACUACCCUUUUCCAAAGAGAAAAGGCCCUCGCAUCUCUGAGGCAGCCAGGAGACUGGGCCUCUACAGACCCACCUGAAACCCCCAGCAGGGUGGGGUCUAGGGACGAGAGAAGCCCACAGCCCCUAAGUUGUCAGGGCCGGAGACACCGAUGGUGAUGGCGCAGCAGAGGCCUCUCUGGUCCUGCCCCUCCGUGGCCUUCCAGGGAAGGGGGAGCUCAGCACCCGAGGCAGCCCUGGCCAGCUUUUCUUCCGCCCAGGGAACCCUGGGGGCACAGGAGCUCAUCCAGGGGGUCUGGGGAACGAGGAACGUUGGUGGCAAAUAACGAUCCUGUCCUAUUGAAAUAUCCCCAAAGCGGUUACAUCGAUGAAGAAAUGCUGCUCACCAAAUAAAGUUUUCUUUGUGAAAAAAU